Pseudoliparis swirei is the source of this 630-nucleotide long non-coding RNA. RefSeq lists it as uncharacterized. The transcript is spliced from 2 exons. The record is from RefSeq and is a predicted model, not a curated record. Lineage: Eukaryota; Metazoa; Chordata; Actinopteri; Perciformes; Liparidae.
GUUCUGAAAAACAGACACAUUCCCUCCAGAAUAAUGGAAACAGGCUGGUUACAGACAUGAUGGACUUUAACCAGAGUUAUUGAGAAGUUUGACCACUUUAAAGAGAGGAGCUACUUUUCUUUACAUAUAGUGGGUCUACUCUGUCAAACAGUUAGAAAUGCACUCUGUCAUUUCUUGUUUUCAAUGUAUUGUAUUUUAUUUUUGUUUGUUGUUCAACGAUAUUAUUGAGUGUUUGUGAAUUUUAUUUUAAUGAGCUAUUUUUAUAUAGCGUUAUUUUUAAAAAUCUGUUUCCUGCGGAAAUUGCUUUCCAUCUGUUGCACUUCCUGCUCCUGAGUCCGUCUUUCCGUCACAAUGGUUUUAUAUUGCCGAGGAAUAAAUAAGUGCUGGGAAAAUCCACCAUCUGAGCCGACUUCUUCCAUGCCCGUUCCACAUCAGUUACAUCUGCUCUGAACCUCUUUCAUGUGAGGGUGAAACUCUUUUAUUGUGUAAACCUCUGAAACCCAACCCAAUGUUCCUUAAAGCUGCUCUGAACCUCUCAUGCCCAAAGUUACAGUGUGUUGAUAGUUGUUGUUGGACAGUGUUGAGCACGCUGUGUUCUUGAAAUAAAGCUUUGUUUUUUACAAUAUUCUA